This 468-nucleotide ribosomal RNA is filed under the name uncultured bacterium. RNAcentral describes it as "partial 16S ribosomal RNA". It matches the Rfam family "Bacterial small subunit ribosomal RNA", at positions 28 to 507 of the family's 1533-position model. The record is from RNAcentral.
GACGAACGCUGGCGGCGUGCUUAACACAUGCAAGUCGAACGGAAAGGCCCUGCUUUUGUGGGUUGCUCGAGUGGCGAACGGGUGAGUAACACGUGAGUAACCUGCCCUUGACUUUGGGAUAACUUCAAGAAACUGGGGCUAAUACCGGAUAGGAGCUCCUGCUGCGUGGGGGGGGUUGGAAAGUUUCGGCGGUUGGGGAUGGACUGGCGGCUUAUCAGCUGGUUGGUGGGGUAGGUGCUUACCAGGGCUUUGACGGGUAGCCGGCCUGAGAGGGUGACCGGCCACAUUGGGACUGAGAUACGGCCCAGACGCCUACGGGAGGCAGCAGUGGGGAAUAUUGCACAACGGGCGGAAGCCUGAUGCAGCAACGCCGCGUGCGGGAUGCCGGCCUUCGGGUUGUAAACCGCUUUCGCCUGUGACGAAGCGGGAGUGACGGUAAUGGGUAAAGAAGCACCGGCUAACUACGUG